Molecule: transfer RNA, 65 nt
Filed under: Mytilus californianus (California mussel)
Lineage: Eukaryota; Metazoa; Mollusca; Bivalvia; Mytilida; Mytilidae
Description: tRNA-Pro
Source: RNAcentral
CUAGAUGUAGUUUAAAAAAAGAACCUUAGCUUUGGGGGCUAAAAGAGCCUUUAAGGUUAUCUAGA